Suricata suricatta (meerkat) is the source of this 333-nucleotide long non-coding RNA. RefSeq lists it as uncharacterized. The record is from RefSeq and is a predicted model, not a curated record. NCBI's taxonomy places the organism in Eukaryota, Metazoa, Chordata, Mammalia, Carnivora, Herpestidae. The transcript has 3 exons.
GGCCGCUCACAGGUGGCCCUGGCUAUAAAUAUCCCUGGGGAAGAGCAGUGGGGCUGCUUUUAGCCUCAGCUGUGUUGGCGGAAGAAGCGGGCUGGGACCCCGGGAGAGGCGAGAUGAGGAAACGGAGGCCCUAUGAGAUCUUGCCUGUCCAGCUCCUAAGAGAUGAAGUUUGAGAUUUAAAUGCAGGCAGCAGUAUAGCUGCCUCUUUGUUGCAGGUCUAUGUCCAAACCCAUAAUCCUGGUGUGUCUGGUUUAAGAAUUCACACGAGCCCAGCUACCUACGACCCGGCCUGAGGAAUAGAAUGUCGCCAGCUCCUCGGGUGGCCCUCGAAGA